AGGACGAACGCUGGCGGCGUGCCUAAUACAUGCAAGUCGAACGGUCUUUUCUAUGGAAGCUUGCUUCCACUGAGAAGAUAGUGGCGAACGGGUGAGUAACACGUGGGUAACCUGCCCAUAAGAGGGGGAUAACAUCCGGAAACGGGUGCUAAUACCGCAUAGUUUUCUUGAUCGCAUGAUUGAGAAAGGAAAGACGGCCUUUGUGCUGUCGCUUAUGGAUGGACCCGCGGCGUAUUAGUUAGUUGGUGAGGUAACGGCUCACCAAGACGAUGAUACGUAGCCGACCUGAGAGGGUGAUCGGCCACAUUGGGACUGAGACACGGCCCAAACUCCUACGGGAGGCAGCAGUAGGGAAUCUUCCGCAAUGGACGAAAGUCUGACGGAGCAACGCCGCGUGAGUGAAGAAAGGUUUUCGGAUCGUAAAACUCUGUUGUCAGAGAAGAACAAGUUGGAGAGUAACUGCUCCAGCCUUGACGGUAUCUGACCAGAAAGCCACGGCUAACUACGUGCCAGCCGCCGC
RNAcentral lists this ribosomal RNA (520 nucleotides) under uncultured bacterium. RNAcentral's name for it is "bacterial SSU rRNA". It matches the Rfam family "Bacterial small subunit ribosomal RNA", at positions 26 to 518 of the family's 1533-position model. The record is from RNAcentral.